Molecule: ribosomal RNA, 253 nt
Filed under: uncultured bacterium
Lineage: Bacteria
Description: partial 16S ribosomal RNA
Rfam family: Bacterial small subunit ribosomal RNA
Source: RNAcentral
UACGUAGGGUGCAAGCGUUGUCCGGAAUUAUUGGGCGUAAAGAGCUCGUAGGCGGUUUGUCACGUCGGUUGUGAAAAUCCGAGGCUCAACCUCGGACCUGCAAUCGAUACGGGCAGGCUAGAGUUCGGUAGGGGAGACUGGAAUUCCUGGUGUAGCGGUGAAAUGCGCAGAUAUCAGGAGGAACACCGGUGGCGAAGGCGGGUCUCUGGGCCGAUACUGACGCUGAGGAGCGAAAGCGUAGGGAGCGAACAGG